GAAAAAGUUGGAAGUAAAGAAAGGCAAGCUCAGAAAAGUGAUGGCAGGUCCAUGCUUUUCAUCAUCAUAUAACAACAAUUUUUUAUUUAUUCAUUUUUUUUUAUGAUAUUCAUUUAUUUUGAUAUGAUCAUAUAACAACAUUUUUAACUACUAGAAAAUUGAGGCUCUGGGUUGGGUUUUAUUUUCACGGCCCGAGAGUUUACUCCUCUUGGGCUUUAUUGAACUCCCAGUGAAUCUGAGUACAAAAUCCAUACAUUAGACAGUAACCCAAUAUCCUACUCAGCAAAUUCAAAUGUCUACCCCAAAAAAAAAAAAAAUC
This 319-nucleotide long non-coding RNA is filed under the name Citrus sinensis (sweet orange). Its description in RNAcentral is "long non-coding RNA (CSIN_LNC003780)". The record is from RNAcentral. Lineage: Eukaryota; Viridiplantae; Streptophyta; Magnoliopsida; Sapindales; Rutaceae.